Molecule: non-coding RNA, 22 nt
Filed under: Arabidopsis thaliana (thale cress)
Lineage: Eukaryota; Viridiplantae; Streptophyta; Magnoliopsida; Brassicales; Brassicaceae
Source: RNAcentral
UGGAGAGGUGAUGUUGAAUGGC